CCGACAUCCUCUGCCUGCAUUAAUUUAAAGUUAAAUGCCCUCAAACCUUUCCGCCUCUCGGGUUGGGGCUGGGUGCACGCCAUCCGCACAAACUUUUGGGAGCCUCCUUCCUAGUGCGCCUGGGUCUGUUCCCUGCCCGUCCCUCCCCGCCACUCGUUCCCUCCAGCUCCCAGUGCCCGCUCAGCCGCCCCCAGCCGCUGGCUCGGCACCCACUGAAGUUUGGCAGGUGCCGAGGGGGUUAACAGGACAGCACGCACCACACCAGCCCACAGGCACGUGGUUUAGCGGGCCGGCCAGGAGCCGGUCCUGGCCACCGUGGCCCUGCUCCCCAAGCCCACCUCGCCUUGUGGAGUUGGAGUAAAGACCAGCUCUUCCUGAACCCUCCUCACCCACCUCCACUUUCUAAGGGCUCUGGGCACAGGCAGGCAAGGCAGCCACCGCCUCCAUGCCACCCAUCAUCCUCUUUUUCUGUUUUCUUCCAGGUUCUAUCCAAACAUCCUUUCGGGCAAAGGGGGUGGGGAGCCCCAGACAGAUGAGCUCAUUGGGAGGAGGAGGGCAGAGGGAGGAGGGAGCUGAACCGUCCUGACCAGGGAGGUGCUCACCGGGCAGUCCCAAGCUGGAGAGGGGCGUGUGUGUCCACUUCCAGGAGCAGGCAUCCGCUUCCCUGCAGCAGCUCAGAGAUGGGGGCCCGGAUUCAGGACUUUCUUGCUUCUUCUCCAACUUCAGCCCUGGGAGCAGUGGCUGCACAGGUGGAAUUAGAUGCACCAAAGAAACCCCAAAAACAAGACAAAACAAAAAACUAGUCUUGGUCCCCAUGGGGCUGACCUGCAGUUCCCAACUCGUCUAUGGCUUCGGGUGCCUCCCUGGGGCCCGGCACAGUGCCAGGCCCACGGGAGAUGCUCAAUGAACGGAUGCUGAAUUGGAAUGAAUUAAACGGAACCUCCCAUAUCGUUCUCGCCCCAAAUCGGCUAUCUGAUGGGGAGAGGCAGAGGAUGGUCCCCAACACUGUCCCAGUCCUGUCCUCGCCUCCUUUCCUCAGACUCAUUCCUGCCCUGGGCACUGACUUCCUGCGCCUCGGUGGCCUCUGAGCUCCUGGAAAGGCUGGGAAGUGCUGAAGAAGGUCAGCCUGGGGUCGGGGGGAGGGGGGCAGGAGUGGGGCCUUGCCAGCAGCUCUGCCCUCCCACUCCACCCCUCCAUCCGCCACCCCUCCACCCGGCCUCAAUCACAGCCUGCAGCUGCCGCCCUGGGACAGCAGCAGGCCUGGACAGCCCGUCUCCCUCACCUCACCUCCCUCGUGGACCAGCCCGCAGAGGCUCUUCCCACUCAGAAAACUAUGGCUCUGUUGGGUCAGACUGGAGACUGAGGAGCCAGAGGAGGAGACGGCGGGACCCUCGGUCUCUGCCAGUUUGAACCUCAGUUUCCCCAUUUGUUGUGAGUGGCUUGCCUGGUUGGUCUCUGAGGGUCUUCCAAGGUAGUGUCCACGUCGGCAGCUUCUCUCUGUCUCGCUCCCUCUCCUGAGGCUUAAAUAAUCAGUCCCUUCCUGAUGUGAGUAUAAUGGCAGUGAAAGUUGGCUCUCCAUAAACGCUACUUGCUUCCCCACAGAGGGAGUCCCUGGGGCUGCGAAGGGAGGGAGCGACCACAGGAUCUCAGAGGCUCCAGGAGCCCCCUCACACUUCCCUCAGGGCAUUUCCUUCCCUGUUUUCUACCAAAAGCCAGCCCAAACCCUGCUAACUGGGAAAGUUUGAAAUGGAAGGCCUGAAUGAAGCCCCCACUCUGCACAUUGGCUCCCCCAUCGUGGCUCCCACCCCUCCUUAGCCCCCCACCUUGGCCGCUCCCGGCCUGGGAGGAGUGAGGGUGGUCAGCCUGUGGGAGAAGGCUGCCUGCGGCCAACUCCACUUCACAAUGGAGCCCCUGCCCCUUCAGACCUUAGCCGGCUUCGAAAUUUGUCUCCUGUUAGUGGGUAACUAUGGUGGGAAAUGACCGCCACCUGGGACGCUACAACCCGCCCAUGGCCCAGCUCAGUGACUCUCCGUACAAUGCCCACCAAAACUCCCAAGGGAUUGGCAGCUGCCAGAAAACCCCCGAGGCUUCCCUGGUAGCAGCUCUGGAAGGAGAGGGGGUAAGAGCAGAGUUUCCUGGGCCGGGGCUCGUCUCCACCUGCCCCCAGCCCCUGCUUGCCUUCAGUGCCCAGGAAAGGCACGGUCCUCCCUUCAACGUGGCCUCCACCCAAGUGACAGGACCCAUCGGCACCCCAGCCUGACUGGGCCACCCGGCCUGGAGCAGCCGGGGAGCACGGCGAUGCCACCGCCCAGGCUUUCUCGAGGCAGCACAGGAAAGCCCCUCUGCCACCCGCCGAUCCUCCCUGAGGCCCCACCAAACCGGGCAGUCCACAAACCGGGCAGGCUGGACAGCUGACCUCCCCCUCCGCCACUGCCCACCCUCCCCGCCUCUCUUUCCAGGACCCUCACAGGCUUCCUGCCUCCCCUCCGGGACCGGCAGUCCGGAGCCCACUUCCCCCUCCCCCAGGGCCCACGUGUCCCACACCCCAUGGCAGGUUUCCCCCGAAUGAAAGAGAGGUCAUCCGUGCUCAGUUUCUGCUCUUUUUUCCUCCUCACGCACUUUACUACCAUCAGCACCAAGAUGACCACCGCCAGGAAGCCGCCCACGGAGGCGCCCACGAUCACCGCCACCGUGGAGUCCCGCUCAGGGGGCUCUGGAGGACAAGAAACGGACCCACUGAGCCCCGGGGCUGGAAAAGGGGGCCUCCCCCGCCGCCCCCUGCUCCCCACAGUAUGUGCGGGCUGGUCCCCAUGGAAAGAGCCCCAUGGCUCCCCAUGGAAAGGACGUUGGUCAAAACCAAAAUCAACCCAGGCCCUUGACCUCCACGGGCCCGCCCCCAAAUCCCCGGGGCACCUAAAAGCCCCAGGGGAUGACAGUGAAACGCAGGAUUUAAGACCAUGGAUUUUGAGAUCGAAUAGACCCAAACCUGAGUCCUAACUGCACUCUUCGUUUAUGGUGUGACCUUAGG
Long non-coding RNA from Acinonyx jubatus (cheetah), 3028 nucleotides. RefSeq lists it as uncharacterized. The record is from RefSeq and is a predicted model, not a curated record. Lineage: Eukaryota; Metazoa; Chordata; Mammalia; Carnivora; Felidae. The transcript has 3 exons.